GACGAGUGGCGGACGGGUGAGUAAUGUCUGGGAAACUGCCUGAUGGAGGGGGAUAACUACUGGAAACGGUAGCUAAUACCGCAUAACGUCGCAAGACCAAAGAGGGGGACCUUCGGGCCUCUUGCCAUCGGAUGUGCCCAGAUGGGAUUAGCUUGUAGGUGGGGUAACGGCUCACCUAGGCGACGAUCCCUAGCUGGUCUGAGAGGAUGACCAGCCACACUGGAACUGAGACACGGUCCAGACUCCUACGGGAGGCAGCAGUGGGGAAUAUUGCACAAUGGGCGCAAGCCUGAUGCAGCCAUGCCGCGUGUAUGAAGAAGGCCUUCGGGUUGUAAAGUACUUUCAGCGGGGAGGAAGGGAGUAAAGUUAAUACCUUUGCUCAUUGACGUUACCCGCAGAAGAAGCACCGGCUAACUCCGUGCCAGCAGCCGCGGUAAUACGGAGGGUGCAAGCGUUAAUCGGAAUUACUGGGCGUAAAGCGCACGCAGGCGGUUUGUUAAGUCAGAUGUGAAAUCCCCGGGCUCAACCUGGGAACUGCAUCUGAUACUGGCAAGCUUGAGUCUCGUAGAGGGGGGUAGAAUUCCAGGUGUAGCGGUGAAAUGCGUAGAGAUCUGGAGGAAUACCGGUGGCGAAGGCGGCC
Molecule: ribosomal RNA, 640 nt
Filed under: Escherichia coli
Lineage: Bacteria; Pseudomonadati; Pseudomonadota; Gammaproteobacteria; Enterobacterales; Enterobacteriaceae
Description: bacterial SSU rRNA
Rfam family: Bacterial small subunit ribosomal RNA
Source: RNAcentral